Molecule: ribosomal RNA, 171 nt
Filed under: uncultured bacterium
Lineage: Bacteria
Description: partial 16S ribosomal RNA
Rfam family: Bacterial small subunit ribosomal RNA
Source: RNAcentral
GGAAUCGCUAGUAAUCGCGGAUCAGCAUGCCGCGGUGAAUACGUUCCCGGGCCUUGUGCACACCGCCGUCACACCAUGAGAGUCGGGAACACCCGAAGUCCGUAGCCUAACCGCAAGGAGGGCGCGGCGAAGGUGGGUUCGAUAAUUGGGGUGAAGUCGUAACAAGGUAAC